AUCAUUCUUCUAUAGAAAGUUGUUGUUUUUUUUUCCCUAAUAACGUGUUUAUCACGCAGUCCUGCACAUUCACCCAUCCACACACACACAGAGCUCUUUAUACAGAGAAAAUCAGGCUGGCGCUGCAAAAGUGCAGAGAAGAUCUUUCGCUAAAAUGCUCUCAAGCAAACAGAGACAGCUAACCUGGAAGUUGGAAUGCCCAGUGUCUUCUCCAAAAUUAUCCAGACUGCUUUUGUUUGCAGAAGUCAGACUGUGCAAGCUGUUGGUGUGUGGCUUGUCCCGCUCCUCAUUCUCUGAAGCUGUUCCUCUGGAUAAAAAAACCAUCCAUCAUCAAACUAGUGACACAACUACAAGAGUGGGCAAAACUGCUCUUCUGCAUAUUCUUGUAGCUUAUGGAAGGCAUUUAAUAAAUUCCUUGAUAUCAGACAGUUUUAAUCUACAUGGCUGGUAAUUGAGAUCGCUACUUGGCAUACAUUCAUCCUGCAUCUCAUCUCUCCCUCCUAUGUAUAUCACAUCAUAUCUUAAUUAGAAAAGUGAGUAGGUCUGCCUUGGAAUACACUAGGAACAUGCCUCUUGAGGAAAAAAAAGCAAAGUCCUCUUUCAUAUUCCAUUUCUUCUGACUACAGAAGAAGGAUCAGAAGUUACAGCAUGUAUCACAUAGCCAUGAAUUUUUCUACCUGAUGACAGUGGAUGUCCUUUCAAGAAAGAAUGAUCAGCAUUUUAGUACCUAACUGGCAACUUGUUGAAAAGUCUGAGGAGCUGAGGUUUUGCUGUACACCAGCAAGUCUGGAACUGCAUUUGGAGGAUGAGUCAGUCAAGCUGUCCAACAUGGAGA
RNAcentral lists this long non-coding RNA (835 nucleotides) under Cyanistes caeruleus (blue tit). RNAcentral describes it as "lncRNA (ENSCCEG00000009073.1)". The record is from RNAcentral. Lineage: Eukaryota; Metazoa; Chordata; Aves; Passeriformes; Paridae.